GCUCCUAUGGCCUCAGUGGUUUUAGAGCGUCCGCCUCGGAUGCGGGAGGUCGUGGGUUCGAUCCCUUGCCGAGCC
This is a non-coding RNA of Potamilus streckersoni, 75 nucleotides long. The record is from the annotation of a GenBank genome assembly. NCBI's taxonomy places the organism in Eukaryota, Metazoa, Mollusca, Bivalvia, Unionida, Unionidae.